GGCAAGAUGGCCGAGUGGUUAAGGCGCAACGUUCAGGAUUCUUCUGAGAUACACAUCAACCGUUGUCUUCGGGCGUGGGUUCGAAUCCCACUCUUGUCA
This 99-nucleotide transfer RNA is filed under the name Ustilago trichophora. It matches the Rfam family "tRNA". From Rfam's summary of the family: Transfer RNA (tRNA) molecules are approximately 80 nucleotides in length. The record is from Rfam by way of RNAcentral. Lineage: Eukaryota; Fungi; Basidiomycota; Ustilaginomycetes; Ustilaginales; Ustilaginaceae.